Molecule: ribosomal RNA, 492 nt
Filed under: uncultured bacterium
Lineage: Bacteria
Description: partial 16S ribosomal RNA
Rfam family: Bacterial small subunit ribosomal RNA
Source: RNAcentral
AGUGAACGCUGGCGGUAGGCCUAACACAUGCAAGUCGAACGGCAGCACAGUAAGAGCUUGCUCUUACGGGUGGCGAGUGGCGGACGGGUGAGGAAUACAUCGGAAUCUACUUUUUCGUGGGGGAUAACGUAGGGAAACUUACGCUAAUACCGCAUACGACCUACGGGUGAAAGCAGGGGAUCUUCGGACCUUGCGCGAUUGAAUGAGCCGAUGUCGGAUUAGCUAGUUGGCGGGGUAAAGGCCCACCAAGGCGACGAUCCGUAGCUGGUCUGAGAGGAUGAUCGGCCACACUGGAACUGAGACACGGUCCAGACUCCUACGGGAGGCAGCAGUGGGGAAUAUUGGACAAUGGGCGCAAGCCUGAUCCAGCCAUGCCGCGUGGGUGAAGAAGGCCUUCGGGUUGUAAAGCCCUUUUGUUGGGAAAGAAAAGCUGCAUGUUAAUCCCCCGCUGUUCUGACGGUACCCAAAGAGUAAGCACCGGCUAACUUCGUG